This 460-nucleotide ribosomal RNA is filed under the name Salmonella enterica. RNAcentral's name for it is "bacterial SSU rRNA". It matches the Rfam family "Bacterial small subunit ribosomal RNA", at positions 1 to 456 of the family's 1533-position model. The record is from RNAcentral. Lineage: Bacteria; Pseudomonadati; Pseudomonadota; Gammaproteobacteria; Enterobacterales; Enterobacteriaceae.
UUAAUUGAAGAGUUUGAUCAUGGCUCAGAUUGAACGCUGGCGGCAGGCCUAACACAUGCAAGUCGAACGGUAACAGGAAGCAGCUUGCUGCUUUGCUGACGAGUGGCGGACGGGUGAGUAAUGUCUGGGAAACUGCCUGAUGGAGGGGGAUAACUACUGGAAACGGUGGCUAAUACCGCAUAACGUCGCAAGACCAAAGAGGGGGACCUUCGGGCCUCUUGCCAUCAGAUGUGCCCAGAUGGGAUUAGCUUGUUGGUGAGGUAACGGCUCACCAAGGCGACGAUCCCUAGCUGGUCUGAGAGGAUGACCAGCCACACUGGAACUGAGACACGGUCCAGACUCCUACGGGAGGCAGCAGUGGGGAAUAUUGCACAAUGGGCGCAAGCCUGAUGCAGCCAUGCCGCGUGUAUGAAGAAGGCCUUCGGGUUGUAAAGUACUUUCAGCGGGGAGGAAGGUGUUG